CACGCAUGACACACUGCAUAUCAAUAAGCGGAGGAAAAGAAACUAACAAGGAUUCCCUUAGUAACGGCGAGUGAAGCGGGAAGAGCUCAAAUUUGAAAUCUUCAAGGUUCUACCUUGACGAAUUGUAGUUUAUAGAAGUGUUUUCUGUUAGUAGAGUGGCAAAAGUUCUUUGGAAUAGGACAUCAUAGAGGGUGAGAAUCCCGUAUUUGGUCAUUCUUUCUAGCUUUGUGAUACACUUUCAACGAGUCGGAUUGUUUGGGAAUGCAGUCCAAAAUGGGUGGUAAAUUUCAUCUAAAGCUAAAUAUUGGCGAGAGACCGAUAGCGAACAAGUACCGUGAGGGAAAGAUGAAAAGAACUUUGAAAAGAGAGUUAAACAGUACGUGAAAUUGUCAAAAGGGAAGCGUUUGACACCAGUGUUGUUUUUCCGAAAAUCAAUUACGAAUGUUUUGUUUUUGAGGAAGUUAUGACUUCAUCGGCUUGCUCCUUUCUUUACGAAACUUUCUUAAUGCACUUUUCGGUUAACAAGUCAACAUCAAUUUCUUUUAGUUGUAAAAGGGUAUGAGGAAGGUGGCUUUCUUUUCGGAGAAAGUGUUUAUAGCCUUGUACCUCUAGCAAUCGGAGAGAUUGAGGUCUGCAGCGUAGAUCCUUCGGGGUUAGAUACAUUUGUGCUAAGUUAUAGCCUUUUCAUAGACAACUUGUUGACUAUGAUCAGUCAUGUAGCUUACUCGCUUAUGCUAUUUUACCUACGCUUAGGAUGUUGAGCGCAUGUCUCUCUCU
RNAcentral lists this ribosomal RNA (777 nucleotides) under uncultured Neocallimastigales. RNAcentral describes it as "partial large subunit ribosomal RNA". It matches the Rfam family "Eukaryotic large subunit ribosomal RNA", at positions 24 to 616 of the family's 3401-position model. Lineage: Eukaryota; Fungi; Neocallimastigomycota; Neocallimastigomycetes; Neocallimastigales. The record is from RNAcentral.